Mirounga angustirostris (Northern elephant seal) is the source of this 1530-nucleotide long non-coding RNA. RefSeq lists it as uncharacterized. The record is from RefSeq and is a predicted model, not a curated record. The transcript has 4 exons. Lineage: Eukaryota; Metazoa; Chordata; Mammalia; Carnivora; Phocidae.
GCGGGGCUCGAUCCCGGGACUCCAGGAUCAUGACCUGAGCCGAGGGCAGUCGCUCAACCGACUGAGCCACCCAGUAGUUCUCAGUGUGGGCGAGGAACACCUGGAGUUUCCUGAGCCCCUUCCUCUGAGUUGCUUCUGGUGGUUUCCUGGCACUCUUUGGCAUCCCUUGGCCUGUAGAUCUCAGCCUUCAUCUUCACGUGACUUCUCCCUGUGUGCAUGUCUAUUUCCAAUUUUCCUUCCCCUGCUUGUGCUCUCUUUCUGUCAAAUAAAUAAAAUCUUAAAAGAAAAAAAAAAAGAAUCCCAGCUGAGCUCACAGUUGGCAGCCAGCAUCAACUGCCAGUUUGUCAGUGCAUCAUCUUGUUCUGAGCCUUCAAAUGAAUCCAGCUCCCGUUGUAUCUACCUGAAACUGCACUAGAGACCGUGAGUGAAACCACCCAGUUGAUUCCAACCAACUUAUGGAAUGGGUACUCUGGCUUUUAAGCUAAGCCUGGAGCAGUACAAAUGGGAUUCACGUCUACAAAAGGGAAUCAUGGCAAGGAACCUCAGGUCUGAGGUGCAGAGGUGUGAUUCUGAAAACCAGUCUCAAGUAGGAAUUAUAUGAACCAUGUGCUUUACCCACUUGAGCAGCUAGAGGUGCAGUCUAAACAGUUUAAUGGAACAGGUAUUGUGAAUACUGCUAAAUAUAUUCAUGUUUGAAGAGGUAUGAAAGCUUGCACAAAAAGGAUUAACACAGCAGGCCCAAGGCUUCAACUGUUACAAGGUCCUGUUUGCAAGGUUGGCCCUUGGCUGGCACCUGGCAACCUGGCUUUUAUUUAUUUUUUUAAAGAUUUUAUUUAUUUAUUUGACAGAGAGAGACACAGCGAGAGAGGGAACACAAGCAGGGGGAGUUGGAGAGGGAGAAGCACGGGGAAGCCCGAUGCAUGGCUCGAUCCCAGGACCCUGGGAUCAUGACCUGAGCCGAAGGCAGAUGCUUAAUGACUGAGCCACCCAGGCACCCCUGGCAACUUGGCAUUUAGAGUGUUGUCUGUACCCCAACUGAAUAAAGAUGUCUCCCUGUACCUAGACUAUGCGAACAAUGUGAUUUGCACUGAGCACCUGCUUUUCUCCAGGAGUCUGGAAUUUGCUACAUGCUAGACAGAAGUGCCUACUUGCCUGAUCCUCAGUGGGCUUUGUAUGACCCUCUCAGGGGAGGGACAGCAUUGGAAACCUGCACAUAGAUUCCCCCACCCUUCACCUGUCUUUCCCCUUACGGUCCAACUGUGUAUCCUUGCUGCAUCACUCUAAUAAAUCUUAGCUGUGAGUACAAUGAUAUGCUGAGUCCUAUGAAUUCGUCUAGAAAUCUCUGGAUGUGGGGGUGGCCUUGUGGGCCCCCAACAAUUCCACUGCUUGUUCAAAAUUAUGCAUAGGAUUAUUUUGAUACCUGUAUUCUGAAAAGGGGGAGGAGGAUAGAUUUCUGUUUCUUCUUAAAAGGAGCCUCUGGGUCACAUGUAAUAGAUGUGGUAUCACUUAGAGUUUUUUUAAGAAAAAAAA